CUGCUGCCUUCCGUAGGAGUUUGGGCCGUGUCUCAGUCCCAAUGUGGCCGUUCACCCUCUCAGGCCGGCUACUGAUCGUCGCCUUGGUGGCUGUUACCCCGCCAACAAGCUAAUCAGACGCGGAUCCAUCGUAUACCACCGGAGUUUUUCACACCGUCUCAUGCGAGACUGUGCGCUUAUGCGGUAUUAGCACCUAUUUCUAAGUGUUAUCCCCCAGUAUACGGCAGGUUAUCCACGCGUUACUCACCCGUCCG
RNAcentral lists this ribosomal RNA (254 nucleotides) under uncultured bacterium. RNAcentral's name for it is "partial 16S ribosomal RNA". The record is from RNAcentral.